GAUGAACGCUGGCGGCGUGCCUAAUACAUGCAAGUCGAGCGAACAGACGAGGAGCUUGCUCCUCUGACGUUAGCGGCGGACGGGUGAGUAACACGUGGAUAACCUACCUAUAAGACUGGGAUAACUUCGGGAAACCGGAGCUAAUACCGGAUAAUAUAUUGAACCGCAUGGUUCAAUAGUGAAAGACGGUUUUGCUGUCACUUAUAGAUGGAUCCGCGCCGCAUUAGCUAGUUGGUAAGGUAACGGCUUACCAAGGCAACGAUGCGUAGCCGACCUGAGAGGGUGAUCGGCCACACUGGAACUGAGACACGGUCCAGACUCCUACGGGAGGCAGCAGUAGGGAAUCUUCCGCAAUGGGCGAAAGCCUGACGGAGCAACGCCGCGUGAGUGAUGAAGGUCUUCGGAUCGUAAAACUCUGUUAUUAGGGAAGAACAAAUGUGUAAGUAACUAUGCACGUCCUGACGGUACCUAAUCAGAAAGCCACGGCUAACUGCGUG
This 497-nucleotide ribosomal RNA is filed under the name uncultured bacterium. RNAcentral's name for it is "partial 16S ribosomal RNA". It matches the Rfam family "Bacterial small subunit ribosomal RNA", at positions 28 to 507 of the family's 1533-position model. The record is from RNAcentral.